AAAGUGGAGCAAUCCAUGAGUAAAGUGGCGCUACGGGUGAGUAACACGCUGGAUCAUCUACCUCUUGGUGGGGAAUAACGCUGGGAAACCGGCGCUAAUACCGCAUAAGCCUGAAAAGGGAAAGCAGCAAUGCGCCGAGAGAGGAGUCCGCGGCCGAUUAGCUAGUUGGUAGGGUAAUGGCCUACCAAGGCAAUGAUCGGUAGCCGGCCUGAGAGGGCACACGGCCACACUGGCACUGAAACACGGGCCAGACUCCUACGGGAGGCAGCAGUGGGGAAUCUUGCACAAUGGGGGCAACCCUGAUGCAGCGACGCCGCGUGAGUGAUGAAGCCCUUCGGGGUGUAAAGCUCUUUCGGCAGGAACGAUAAUGACGGUACCUGAAGAAGAAGCUGCGGCUAACUACGUGCCAGCAGCCGCGGUAAUACGUAGGCAGCAAGCGUUGUUCGGAGUUACUGGGCGUAAAGAGUGUGUAGGCGGUUCUCUAAGUUCCGUGUGAAAUCUCCCGGCUCAACUGGGAGGGUGCGCGGAAAACUGGAGGGCUUGAGUAUGGGAGAGGAAAGCGGAAUUCCUGGUGUAGCGGUGAAAUGCGUAGAUAUCAGGAGGAACACCUGCGGUGUAGACGGCUUUCUGGACCAUCACUGACGCUGAGACACGAAAGCGUGGGUAGCAAACAGGAUUAGAUACCCUGGUAGUCCACGCCCUAAACGAUGCAUACUUGGUGUGAGCCGUUCAUUCGGUUCGUGCCGGAGCUAACGCGUUAAGUAUGCCGCCUGGGGAGUACGGUCGCAAGGCUGAAACUC
This 800-nucleotide ribosomal RNA is filed under the name uncultured Bacillota bacterium. RNAcentral's name for it is "bacterial SSU rRNA". It matches the Rfam family "Bacterial small subunit ribosomal RNA", at positions 71 to 902 of the family's 1533-position model. The record is from RNAcentral. Lineage: Bacteria; Bacillati; Bacillota.